This is a long non-coding RNA of Apodemus sylvaticus (European woodmouse), 965 nucleotides long. RefSeq lists it as uncharacterized. NCBI's taxonomy places the organism in Eukaryota, Metazoa, Chordata, Mammalia, Rodentia, Muridae. The transcript is spliced from 3 exons. The record is from RefSeq and is a predicted model, not a curated record.
CUUUCAGGGUUGAGAUGCGUCCGCUCAAAAGACUACAGGAAGGGGAAACCGAGGAGGUGUCAUGGGCCGAGUUGUAGAGGUGAGUAGGGUAGAAAUGGGUCUCCCCACACCCUCUCCUUUUAUCCCCUUCUAGCCUCGCCCCAGAUUGGCUCUCCUAAUCACCUGGAGAAGAAGGAGUCUGGGAUCCAGCGCCAAGCCUCCAGCUUGAGGCGGAGCAAUUCUUGAUGGACAGGGACUACCACCUCCACCCCCCAGAAGAGGCGGGCAUCCCGCCUCCGUCCCGUAGGAUGGAGCCUCGAGGAUCUCUCAUACUCACCGCUUGCCCCCUACGUUCAGAUGAAUCACUUCCCCGGGUGCUCCCCGACUCGGGACCCCCUCCGCUGCAGUCGUCGGGACAGCCAUAGCCCCCCGGCAAGCCGGCCGGCUUGCACCCACUUCCGGGUGUGUAUAAACCCGCCCCUACCCUUUGCUCAUUGGCCUAGAGACUCCAGGCUCCACCGACGAUUGGACAGGGAGCUCGCUCGGCGCAACUACGGUCUCUGACUCUUUAAAGAGGGGCGGUCUUUCCUGGCUCUGAAGGGGCGCACGUCGGGGAUCCUUUGGGGGUGAUUUUGUAACUUUCCCCCUUUUCUAGUUUCCCUUAUUUUGUUGUAAUAUAUAAAGAAUGUAAGCGAUUCGUUGAAGAGCGCGAGCGCAGAUCUUGAAAUGAGCCUAUACCAAGGCUUAGGUAUAUGUAGAGUCUAGGAGACUGCCUUCGCAGCCUUGUCCCCACAGCCCACCCUCCAAUCCUGUCUCAGACACACGAACAAACCAGCGUAGACUGUCAAAGCCAAAGGGUUUAUUGCCCACCGUGGCGCAUCCGCAGUCAUCCGGAAGGCCCUUGCGGAUGAGAAGGUGUCUUUGUGUCCACAGUGCCGAGAGGAGGGGCAAGGAGACUUGUCAGACUCCAAGGGGUCGGGGAAGGG